AACUAACGCUAGCGGCGUGCCUAACACAUGCAAGUCGUACGAGAAAGUCGGCUUCGGCUGAUGAGUAAAGUGGCGCACGGGUGAGUAACGCGUGGAUAAUCUACCCUUGAGUUCGGAAUAACGUACCGAAAGGUGCGCUAAUACCGGAUAAUACUGAGUGACACCAGUUGCUUAGUCAAAGAAGGCUUCUGUUUACAUGCUUUUGCUGAAGGAUGAGUCCGCGUACCAUUAGCUAGUUGGUAGGGUAAUGGCCUACCAAGGCUUCGAUGGUUAGCUGGUCUGAGAGGAUGAUCAGCCACACUGGAACUGAGAUACGGUCCAGACUCCUACGGGUGGCUG
RNAcentral lists this ribosomal RNA (339 nucleotides) under uncultured Pseudomonadota bacterium. Its description in RNAcentral is "bacterial SSU rRNA". It matches the Rfam family "Bacterial small subunit ribosomal RNA", at positions 29 to 351 of the family's 1533-position model. Lineage: Bacteria; Pseudomonadati; Pseudomonadota. The record is from RNAcentral.